Molecule: ribosomal RNA, 301 nt
Filed under: uncultured bacterium
Lineage: Bacteria
Description: partial 16S ribosomal RNA
Rfam family: Bacterial small subunit ribosomal RNA
Source: RNAcentral
CAGUAGCCACGGUAAUACGAAGGGGGCUAGCGUUGUUCGGAAUUACUGGGCGUAAAGGGCGCGUAGGCGGUUUGCCAAGUUAGAUGUGAAAUUCCCGGGCUUAACCUGGGGACUGCAUUUGAUACUAGCAGGCUAGAGUAUGGCAGAGGGGGGUAGAAUUCCACGUGUAGCAGUGAAAUGCGUAGAGAUGUGGAGGAAUACCGAUGGCGAAGGCAGCCCCCUGGGCCAAUACUGACGCUCAUGCACGAAAGCGUGGGGAGCAAACAGGAUUAGAUACCCGCGUAGUCCCUGUCUCUUAUAC